CCUACGGGAGACAGCAGUGAGGAAUAUUGGUCAAUGGACGAGUGUCUGAACCAGCCAAGUAGCGUGAAGGAUGACUGCCCUAUGGGUUGUAAACUUCUUUUAUAUGGGAAUAAAAUGUUCCACGUGUGGGAUUUUGUAUGUACCAUAUGAAUAAGGAUCGGCUAACUCCGUGCCAGCAGCCGCGGUAAUACGGAGGAUCCGAGCGUUAUCCGGAUUUAUUGGGUUUAAAGGGAGCGUAGGUGGAUUGUUAAGUCAGUUGUGAAAGUUUGCGGCUCAACCGUAAAAUUGCAGUUGAAACUGGCAGUCUUGAGUACAGUAGAGGUGGGCGGAAUUCGUGGUGUAGCGGUGAAAUGCUUAGAUAUCACGAAGAACUCCGAUUGCGAAGGCAGUUCACUGGACUGCAACUGACACUGAGGCUCGAAAGUGUGGGUAUCAAACAGGAUUAGAUACCCCAGUAGUC
Molecule: ribosomal RNA, 460 nt
Filed under: uncultured bacterium
Lineage: Bacteria
Description: partial 16S ribosomal RNA
Rfam family: Bacterial small subunit ribosomal RNA
Source: RNAcentral